This 253-nucleotide ribosomal RNA is filed under the name uncultured prokaryote. RNAcentral's name for it is "partial 16S ribosomal RNA". It matches the Rfam family "Bacterial small subunit ribosomal RNA", at positions 525 to 777 of the family's 1533-position model. The record is from RNAcentral.
ACGAGCCACACAAACGUUAUUCGGAAUUACUGGGCUUAAAGGGUGCGUAGGCGGUGCGGAAAGUAGGGUGUGAAAGCCCUCGGCUUAACCGAGGAAUUGCGCUCUAAACUACUGUGCUUGAGGAACCUAGAGGUGAGCAGAACUGAUGGUGGAGCGGUGAAAUGCGUUGAUAUCAUCAGGAAUACCGGAGGCGAAGGCGGCUCACUGGGGGUUUUCUGACGCUGAGGAACGAAAGCCAGGGGAGCGAACGGGA